GACGAACCGAGCGAACGUUAUUCGGAAUCACUGGGCUUAAAGGGCGCGUAGGCGGGCGGCCAAGUCAGGGGUGAAAGCCCCCAGCUCAACUGGGGAAGUGCCUUUGAUACUGGCCAUCUCGAGGGAGGUAGGGGCGUGCGGAACUUCCGGUGGAGCGGUGAAAUGCGUAGAUAUCGGAAGGAACACCGGUGGCGAAGGCGACUACCUGGCCUGUUCUUGACGCUGAGGCGCGAAAGCUAGGGGAGCAAACGGG
RNAcentral lists this ribosomal RNA (253 nucleotides) under uncultured bacterium. Its description in RNAcentral is "partial 16S ribosomal RNA". It matches the Rfam family "Bacterial small subunit ribosomal RNA", at positions 524 to 776 of the family's 1533-position model. The record is from RNAcentral.